This 447-nucleotide ribosomal RNA is filed under the name uncultured bacterium. RNAcentral's name for it is "bacterial SSU rRNA". It matches the Rfam family "Bacterial small subunit ribosomal RNA", at positions 329 to 793 of the family's 1533-position model. The record is from RNAcentral.
GGCCAGACUCCUACGGGAGGCAGCAGUGGGGAAUAUUGGACAAUGGGGGAAACCCUGAUCCAGCGACGCCGCGUGAGUGAAGAAGUAUUUCGGUACGUAAAGCUCUAUCAGCAGGAAAGAAAAUGACGGUACCUGACUAAGAAGCCCCGGCUAACUACGUGCCAGCAGCCGCGGUAAUACGUAGGGGGCAAGCGUUAUCCGGAUUUACUGGGUGUAAAGGGAGCGUAGACGGCAGAUCAAGUCUGGAGUGAAAUCCCGGGGCUCAACCCCGGAGCUGCUCUGGAAACUGAGAAGCUAGAGUACUGGAGAGGCAGGCGGAAUUCCUAGUGUAGCGGUGAAAUGCGUAGAUAUUAGGAGGAACACCAGUGGCGAAGGCGGCUUACUGGACUGUAACUGACGUUGAGGCUCGAACGCGUGGGGAGCAAACAGGAUUAGAUACCCCAGUAC